GACGAACGCUGGCGGCGUGCUUAACACAUGCAAGUCGAACGGAAAGGCCUGCUUUCCCUUGUGGAUUGCGGGUACUCGAGUGGCGAACGGGUGAGUAACACGUGAGUGAUCUGCCCCCAACUUGGGUAUAAGCCUGGGAAACUGGGUCUAAUUCCCGAUAGGACUGCAGGGUGGUGCCUGUGGUGGAAAACGAUUUUCUAGUGGUUGGGGAUGAGCUCGCGGCCUAUCAGCUUGUUGGUGGGGCAAUGGCCUACCAAGGCGGCGACGGGUAGCCGGCCUGGGAGGGUGGACGGCCACAUUGGGACUGAGAUACGGCCCAGACGCCUACGGGAGGAAGCAGUGGGGAAUAUUGAACAAUGGGCGGAAGCCUGAUGCAGCGACGCCGCGUGGGGGAUGACGGCCUUCGGGUUGUAAACUCCUUUCGACCGCGAGGAAGCCACCUGGUUGGAAGGGUGGUGACGGUAGUGGUAGAAGAAGCACCGGCUAACUACGUG
RNAcentral lists this ribosomal RNA (494 nucleotides) under uncultured bacterium. Its description in RNAcentral is "partial 16S ribosomal RNA". It matches the Rfam family "Bacterial small subunit ribosomal RNA", at positions 28 to 507 of the family's 1533-position model. The record is from RNAcentral.